CCAUUUUUCUAAAUCAUUUUAGGGCAUGAGCCCAGAAAUGAGGCAAAUCCAAAUCUCAGGUGGGCCGCACCAUUGAAAACAGUGUGAUUCAAUGGCCACCACUAAAAACUUUCUAGUGCCCACCUUAAAGCCCAUGAUCAUGUUUAUUUCCCAUACAACAUGUUGAUUAUGUUACGAUGACUUGGAUGAAGACAAAAGACAAAUAUCAGCUUUAUCCAAAACUUUUAUAUCCCAUAAGAAGUUUUUAAUGGUAGGCGUUCAUCACCACUAUUUUUUGUGGUGUGGUACACUUAAGAUUUUGAUCUACCUCGGUUCUUGUCAGAAAAUGAUCUGUAAAAAUGCAUAGAUAAUGUGGAUUAAACACAUACGAUAUGGUAGAGCCUACAGACCACCUUAUGCAAUCCGGUCGAAGGUAUAGCUUUGGUGUCUUUGCCCCAUGCGGAAUGCCCGUGAGAAGUUCAUGUAGUACAGAAAUGAUGUGGGGCCGCAGAAAUUUCCUACACAAAUCCAAUCUGUCCAUCCAUUUUUUAAGAUCACAUACAAGUACAGGAGUCUAAAGAUGGGGCAGAUCGAAAAUUCAUGUAGACCACUUCACAUUAAAGGACGGGAAUGUAAAUGUCGGCGGUUGAAACCUUCUUAGAGCGGAGCAUGAGUUUUAUUGGUUAUCCAAACGGUUCAUAGGAUUAUUAUUACUCAGAAAAAUUGUAGGCACAAAUAUCAUCCUGAUACAAAACUUCUGUGGCCCUCACGAAGUUUCCAUUGGCGACAUCCAAUUCCUACUUUUUCAGAUGGUGUGGUCCAUAUAAAUUUUGGAUCUCACUGAUUUUCAGAUUCUUGUUCUUUCGUUCUCUUGAAAAAUUGAUGGACGGAGUAGAUUUGUUAUGAAAAUCUUUA
Molecule: long non-coding RNA, 894 nt
Organism: Magnolia sinica
Lineage: Eukaryota; Viridiplantae; Streptophyta; Magnoliopsida; Magnoliales; Magnoliaceae
Exons: 2
Source: RefSeq, a predicted model, not a curated record